CAGGCUGCAACUCGCCUGCACGAAGUCGGAAUUGCUAGUAAUCGUAGGUCAGCAUACUACGGUGAAUACGUUCCCGGGCCUUGUACACACCGCCCGUCAAACCAUGAGAGUUGGCAACACCCGAAGUCGGUAGUCUAACCGCAAGGAGGACGCCGCCGAAGGUGGGGAUGAUGAUUAGGGUUAAGUCGUAACAAGGUAAC
RNAcentral lists this ribosomal RNA (200 nucleotides) under uncultured bacterium. Its description in RNAcentral is "partial 16S ribosomal RNA". It matches the Rfam family "Bacterial small subunit ribosomal RNA", at positions 1301 to 1500 of the family's 1533-position model. The record is from RNAcentral.